This 557-nucleotide ribosomal RNA is filed under the name uncultured bacterium. RNAcentral describes it as "partial 16S ribosomal RNA". It matches the Rfam family "Bacterial small subunit ribosomal RNA", at positions 355 to 902 of the family's 1533-position model. The record is from RNAcentral.
UGGGGAAUAUUGCACAAUGGGCGCAAGCCUGAUGCAGCCAUGCCGCGUGUGUGAAGAAGGCCUUCGGGUUGUAAAGCACUUUCAGCGAGGAGGAAGGUGGUGAGCUUAAUACGCUCAUCAAUUGACGUUACUCGCAGAAGAAGCACCGGCUAACUCCGUGCCAGCAGCCGCGGUAAUACGGAGGGUGCAAGCGUUAAUCGGAAUUACUGGGCGUAAAGCGCACGCAGGCGGUUUGUUAAGUCAGAUGUGAAAUCCCCGGGCUCAACCUGGGAACUGCAUUUGAAACUGGCAAGCUAGAGUCUCGUAGAGGGGGGUAGAAUUCCAGGUGUAGCGGUGAAAUGCGUAGAGAUCUGGAGGAAUACCGGUGGCGAAGGCGGCCCCCUGGACGAAGACUGACGCUCAGGUGCGAAAGCGUGGGGAGCAAAACAGGAUUAGAUACCCUGGUAGUCCACGCUGUAAACGAUGUCGAUUUUGGAGGUUGUGCCCUUGAGGCGUGGCUUCCGGAGCUAACGCGUUAAAUCGACCGCCUGGGGAGUACGGCCGCAAGGUUAAAACUU